AAGAGCUGAACAUUUUGAUAGUUGAACGGUUUCUGUAGCUUAAAAAAUGAAGGAGAAGAAGAGGAUUCCAACAAUAAUGUGUCUACCAGCAAAUCUACAGCUCCCAGACUAACACAUGAUACUGUAUGUUAGCCAGGAUAACUGUUACCGCUAAGCUGACCGGCUGCUAAACCCCGCCAUACUCUUAAGUUUUUAAAAUGUUUUUAAUGUCUUCAUGGUGUAUUUAUUGUGUCUACUAAUGAACCACAUAAAAAACGUGUAUCAUAAAGCCGUCCGUCUCUCGUCCUCCGUCCUCCACAGCCGCUGUCCUCGGAGGAGAACUGUCACAGCACCCACUCGAGUCUGUCUGACAGCCAGUACGGGUCGCCCCCUAGAGGCUGGUCCGAGGAGCUGGAUGAACACGGACACACGCUCUACGUCUCCGAAUACACACAGGAGAAGUGGAUAAAACAUUUGGAUGAACAAGGCCGGCCCUACUACUACAGCUCUGACGGGUCCAGGUCCGAAUGGGAACUGCCCAAGUACAACAUCUCCCCUCAGUCCGGCGAGGUCCCCAAGAGUCGCAGUCUGGAGAGGAAGCAGCAGGACCCCAUCGUGCUCACCAAGUGGAGACACAGCACCUACGUGUUGGACCUCAACGACAAGGUAAGACGAUGGGAUUGGAAAUGUGAGAGCUGAUGAGGUAACGCAGACCGUUGGGUCCGAUCAACGUGGAGACGGACGUUCUUGUUUUUCUGGCAGGCUGUCUGCUCUUUCUGUUACCUGUGUUAUUGGCAGUCAGUGUAAUCCCCCAGUGCUGAUGACGCGUUCAGGAACAGGAUCACACUGGAUUUCUCUCUUUUAUCUUUGGAAUAUUGACAAAGCAUGGUGCACUAACCAGGUUCAUGUAAGUGCCUGUGCUGUAAGCUAACGUGUUGUUUUAAAUGUUGACAUCAGACACUGACUUCAGGUUCUCUGUUCUGCAUUGAUCACAGCUAGCGUCUGUGUAGAUUUAGGUUAGAGAUAAGUUCCACAGGACACGGUGAUCCAUUCCAGCAGACACGGUGUUCUAUGAGUGCUAUAGUGAGUUAGUAUUGUACUCCUGUAGAGCUGUGGCCCUUAAGAGACACAUCAUGAGAAGAAUGCCACUUCUAGUCCCUGAAACAGUGGAUCCUACGUUUACAUAAUGCAACCAGACGCAUGUUCCUGCUCGCCCCUCCCAGCGUUAUAGACACAUAUGAACCAAUAUAUUUAACUGUAAAAUAUCUUUCAAAUAUUAACCAAUAGUUGACAUUUUCACACAUCUAAUGUAUAUAAACAAUAAGGCGAC
Molecule: long non-coding RNA, 1309 nt
Organism: Anarrhichthys ocellatus (wolf-eel)
Lineage: Eukaryota; Metazoa; Chordata; Actinopteri; Perciformes; Anarhichadidae
Exons: 3
Source: RefSeq, a predicted model, not a curated record